CGGGGCGUUUCCAACCGGCUGACGCGCACGCGCUGGGAGGCCCCGCCCCCCAUCCCGCCUCCCGCGAUAUCGUGUGGUCGGGCAUCAAGCUGUGGGGCGGUCGCCAGCUCGGUUCUUCGGGACCUUCGGGACAGGGCUGGGGAGCCCGCCCAAAAAGGUCGUUUCUCCUGCAGUUUCCAACAUGGCAGGCAAGUUUUAUAGACAUGGAUAAGAAGUCCAUACACAGAAGUCCUGAAGAUGCCGGGACCGGCAGAAAUGGAGGUAAACAUAGACCAAAGAAAAAAGAAGAGCGAAACCAAAAACACCACCAAUCCCGACAUAGAUCAUCAGCAUCUCAUUCUUCAGAUGACAAUGUGUUUCCUUCUUUUUCGUCAUCAUCUUCAGGAAGUCAGACCGAUUCAAGUAGUGAAGGUGCUCCCCAGGGAAAAAUUAAAAGAAAGAGAGAAGAGAAAAGGGGUAAAUGGAAAAAAAAGAAAGAGAGAUGGCCCUGGCAUGGCACUGUGGGACCUCCUCACCCCUAACCGGCACCUGCUACAGGUCCAUCUGGCCUGCCAAAGCUGCCUGGCCCGUGCAGUCUACACAAGGGAUGCUCCUACACAAGGCCACUCCUUCAAGACUUGGAGAGGACAAAAGAUGAAACAUCAAGAAAAAGAAAGAGAAGAAAAAAAGGAGGGAAUGGCCACAUGCUAUCACCUUUCCAAGAGGGGCUGAAACCAGGCUAAACUCGUUGAUUUCUGAAACUCAGUCCUUUGGUGUAAGGUGGCCAAACGAGAAUGCAGAGCCCAGCACGGUGAAAGCUACAGUGGAGGAGCUUGGGGACGGCACGUCUUUCACACCACGUCUAGACUCCUGACACCAAUCUUCACGUCCCCUGUAACCACACAAUAAAAAGUUGGGAAAUCACAUUGUGUUUAUGAAGAUCCACGUCCAACACCGGAGAGCCUGACGACAAGCCAGUUGUGGCCAUUUUAGGAUGCUUACCCUGUUUGCAAAUAUUCUGUAGGGAAGGAGGAGAUUGAGCCUACUUCUCUUAAAUGUAUGCCUAAUAAUUGCAACUAAAAUACUUACACCAAAGUCCUACACAAAGCAGAAGACUUACAGAUGGCAUGAAAAAGCUAAAGCCUUCCCAAGUUUCAUGUUUCUGUUUUUUACUAAUGUCCCCUUCUUUCAACAAGUGUUAUCAGUUUUCGUAAUCUCAGUGUUUGUUCUGGAGCCUGAUGUAAUGUUCUUUUACUCUUGUUACUCCAGGUACACUGAUGAUAAGUUUCCAACCAAAAGCUUUCAUCUCUAAAGAUGAUCACUUUGUUUAUAAAACAAGAAAGGAGAAAGCAGUUCCCCAGUCAGCCCUUGCUGUUGCCUCUAACGGUUUUACGCAUCGUUGGGCCUUUUGCUCGCUUGGGUUUGUGAGGGAAUGUGUGUCCAAUCUAACCAUGUCCUUGAUAGUUGCCUUUAAAAGAAGCUCCUGCUAGAAGUGAAUGAUGGCGACAGGGCUAGGUUUAUUGUUUUGAACUGGAAGUUGAGGUACUAUUAUUUUGUUAUUCAGGCAAAACUAAAAGAUUGAAAUUAAUCUUGAAUAGGGGCUGGCCCCACGCCCCGGUGGUUAAGUUUGGCGCUCUCUUCUUCUGUGGCCCAGAUUCAGCUCCUGGGUGCAGACCUACACCACUUGUCAGCAGCCGUGCUGUGGUGGUGACCCACGUACAAAAUAGAGGAAGAUCAGCACAGAUGUUAGCUCAGAGACAAUCUUCCUCACCAAAAAGUAAAUUAAAAUUAAAAAAUAAAUGAAUAAUCUUGAAUGCUGUUUUGUGCUGAAGUUAGAGUUUAAGAUGUUAUUCAUAUCACCGUAAUGUGGUGGUGUUACUGAAUGCCAUUCCUUGAAGGGUUUUUUCCCUUCAAAGUAAAAUUAUAAUAGGAUUGUAGUUAAAUUAAAUUAAGCAUCUUUAUCUUUGAUUAUAAAGAGAUUUAGCACAACUGUACAUUAUUUUUCCUCCUAUAUUGUGUUGGACUCCUAGUAUUUGUGUAUCAAGAAAGCAUUUCCUUAUAUUUGAAUGAUAACAUUUUAAAAACAUACCAGCAGAGGACAUAGGUUUUUUGCUUUUUGGUAUUUUUUUUUUUCAUUUUUGAUUUACUGAAGAAAUAAAGGCAUUUUAGUUUGCAAAUGGACUGUUUUCUUUUUUCCAGGAAAACUAAAAUUCACAAUUAUGGGAUAACCAUGGUCUCUUCAAGAGGACAAAAUAAAA
This 2237-nucleotide long non-coding RNA is filed under the name Equus caballus (horse). RNAcentral's name for it is "lncRNA (ENSECAG00000058325.1)". The record is from RNAcentral. Lineage: Eukaryota; Metazoa; Chordata; Mammalia; Perissodactyla; Equidae.